This 610-nucleotide ribosomal RNA is filed under the name Moesziomyces aphidis. Its description in RNAcentral is "partial large subunit ribosomal RNA". It matches the Rfam family "Eukaryotic large subunit ribosomal RNA", at positions 75 to 666 of the family's 3401-position model. Lineage: Eukaryota; Fungi; Basidiomycota; Ustilaginomycetes; Ustilaginales; Ustilaginaceae. The record is from RNAcentral.
UUCCCCUAGUAACGGCGAGUGAAGAGGGAAGAGCCCAAGAUUGAAAGCUGGCGUCUUCGGCGUCCGCAUUGUAAUCUCAAGAAGUGUUUUCCGCUUCGGACCAAGCCUAAGUCCCUUGGAAAAGGGCAUCAUAGAGGGUGAUAAUCCCGUACAUGGCUUGGAGCGCCCGAAGCUUUGUGAUACGCUUUCUAAGAGUCGAGUUGUUUGGGAAUGCAGCUCAAAAUGGGUGGUAAAUGCCAUCUAAGGCUAAAUAUUGGGGAGAGACCGAUAGCGAACAAGUACAGUGAUGGAAAGAUGAAAAGAACUUUGAAAAGAGAGUUAAACAGUACGUGAAAUUGCCAAAAGGGAAGGGUAGGAGGUCAGAGAUGCGGCCUGGGAUUCAGCCUUGCUUUUGCUUGGUGUUUUUCCCAGAUUGCAGGCCAACGUCGGUUUUGGGCACUGGAGAAGGGUAGGAGGAACGUGGCACCUCUCGGGGUGUGUUAUAGCCUCCUACUGGAUACAGCGACCGAGACCGAGGACAGCAGCGUACUCGCAAGAGCGGGCCUUCGGGCACCUUUACGCUUAGGGCGUUGGCAUAAUGGCCCUCUACCACCCGUCUUGAAACACGGAC